Molecule: ribosomal RNA, 253 nt
Filed under: uncultured bacterium
Lineage: Bacteria
Description: partial 16S ribosomal RNA
Rfam family: Bacterial small subunit ribosomal RNA
Source: RNAcentral
UACGGAGGGUGCAAGCGUUAAUCGGAAUUACUGGGCGUAAAGCGUGCGCAGGCGGUUUGUUAAGUCUGCUGUGAAAUCCCCGAGCUCAACUUGGGAAUUGCAGUGGAUACUGGCAAGCUGGAGUACGGUAGAGGAAGGUGGAAUUCCCGGUGUAGCAGUGAAAUGCGUAGAGAUCGGGAGGAACACCAGUGGCGAAAGCGGCUCACUGGACCAUAACUGACGCUGAUGCACGAAAGCUGGGGGAGCAAACAGG